This 2459-nucleotide long non-coding RNA is filed under the name Homo sapiens (human). Its description in RNAcentral is "HSALNT0379019". The record is from RNAcentral. Lineage: Eukaryota; Metazoa; Chordata; Mammalia; Primates; Hominidae.
CAGAAUUGAGUUCCUGUACAGUAGGACUUUCCACUCAUGUCUGUGGUCUAGGAGGAGAUUGGGUUGGGCAAACACCAGGCACGAUGGAGCAACCAUUAACCCUGGAGUUGUGAAGACAGGACCACAAGCUGAGAGAGGGCAGCAAUGGAAACCCAGCCAAACUAUUAAUGGAAGGCUGGGUCCCAUUCUUUAUUAUCCUUCUGUGGUCUCGUCACCAGCAGGGUGAGCCAAAGCCGAGGGCAAGAACACGCUGGGUGACCUUCCACACCCCAAAUGCAAGAUCAAGUGCUGUGGAGAAGGAGAUAACAAGUUUUUAAUGUAAUAAAGAUCAACGUAUCAGUUAUUCUUUUUAUGGAUUAUGCCUUUGAUGUUGUAUCUGUAGAGUCAUCUUCAAACUGGAGAGCUGAAACCUAAUAUUUCUGGAGGCUGGAAGUCUGAGAUCCACAUGCUCCCAAAGGACCCACUUCCUAAAAUCAUUACUUUGGAGUCUAGGAUCUCAACAUAUGAACUUUGGGGGAUGGGGACAGAAACAUUCGGUCCAUUGCAGAGGAAGAGCCUGUGUUAAUAUGAAAGAGUCAGAAAAACUUCUUUGAAAAGCCAAUCCUUUGCUUUCUGAGGGUGAGUGAAGAUUAAGCAGAAGGAGCAGUUUAAGGCAGCAGGAAAUGCUAGGGUGAAGACUCUUGAAGGAAAAAAUGAAGGCCAGUCAGUGUGGCUGGAGUGAAAAAAUCCAGGAAGAUACUGCACAAGUUGACGCUAGUGAGGAGGCAUGGCCAUGGUGAGGGUUUUGGCCUUUAUUGUAAGGAUGAAGGGAAGACACUGAGAGGUUUAAGAAGGGGCAGAAUGGAACAGACAACAGGACUGUCAGGGAACAUCCAUUUUAACAAUAUCACCUUGCUGCCAUGUGGAGAAUUGAUUGAAAGAGGGCCACGGUGUGUGGGAGACUCACUGCGAGCACCUCACAUUAAUCCAGACAUGAUGGCAGCUUGAACUAGGAUAUUAGCUGAAGAAAGGGAGAAAAAUAGAUGACUUGAGUGAUGUAGAGAUAUAAAGGCCAUAGGAGCUGGUGAUUGAUUUCAUAUGAGCAGUGUGGCAUCACAGGCAUCUUCCAGGUUUAUGGCUGGAGCUCUGGAUGGACUGUGGUGCUGUUGAAGCCAGAACCAGACCACGUUUGUGGGAAAGACAAUAAAUCGAGCCAAUUAGGAUGGGGAGGGGUGUUCAAUAGUGCAGAGACAAACCUUGAUUGAGGAAAAUAUGAGAAGGCUACAUUUAGGAGGCAGGAUUUGAACCAGGCCUUCAAUACAUCCAGAAAUCAGAGCCAGGCAUAGUGGGGAAAUUGCAGGGGAAGUGAGGUUCCCAACAGAGGGAGCACCCAGAGCCUUAUGGGGGAUCUUGGCAUUUUUAUUCCAUUUUUGUUUUAAGUAAACUUUGCAUUGAAGUUCAGCAUACCUAUAGAAAAGUGCACAAUUUAUAAAAAUACAAAUCUAUAAAAAUUUAAGAAAACAUAUCAUCCAGUUUCUUUGGGAAGGGGUUCAUUUUUUUCCCCUAAUUUUCUAUUUUAACUGCAUCUAGUUUUCUGAUUGAAAGUGACAUUGAAUUCCUGGAAGUAAGCUGGGAAGAAAAACUCAUUCUAUGAGUGAAUACACUUGGCAAGAAGUAGUGGGGCUGUAAUUGUGAUAGUAACAGUGUUACUAGAAAACAUCGGUGACUGCUAUUGUUAUGUGUUAUGCUGACUAUAAUUUGUACUGCAUUAGAGGAACGUAAUCAGAGAAGACUUGGAGAUAUCAAGUCUUGGAGUAUUACUGAUAAAUAAAUAGAAGUAAUUCUAGACUGUACAAGAAAGAGUUCAGUUUUAGAAAUUUUAAGUUUCGAGUGUUUACUCAAAACUCAUACAGAAGUGGAAAUGUCUGGAAGAACAAAAGGACAGAAGAAUGCAUGGGUGAAAAAUCAAAGGAGGGAUCUUGGCUCCAGGAGACAUGUGUGAGUUCUGCUGUGGGGCUACAUUUAAUCAUGUCAGAGUUGAGGUUCUUGCUUUAGGAGCAGUUACUUAGAAUGAGAUGUCCGGGAUUUGUCUUUUUCUUUUAUUUUACCCAGAAAGAAAUGGAAGUAACUAGAGUGUCUGUUAUACUGUUGCAAAUGCGGUUCUGGAGCAACAAAGAUUGAUCAAAGCUGGAAGCAGGGCUUUGGGUAUUGUCUGUUUUCAGAGAGUAAUUGAAGCCACAGGUCGGACAAAAUGGUCUGGGGAAUGGACAGGGAGCAAGGUGACCCCAGUGUGUUGGAGGGUGCCAGAGCUCAGGGCAGGAGUCCCAGCUGUGCAUGGUGGUGGCAGCUGCCCCGCUUGCCAAGCCCAGGUGGAUGAGGUGGGCAGUGGGUGGGGGGCACUCAUGCACCAUCCACAGAGAGGGUUAGAAGCUAGAGUACUUUGCAGAUGUCAACAGUCGAUUGCAGACAAUUAGGAGGCU